GUGGUCUUGAUGCUAAAAUCAGCUAGGGCCGAAUGUCCGCUUCUAGAUAUUUAAUUGUUAAAUCUGAAAUGGCCUUGAUAGACAGACAUUUACAAAUGUUAUGGGAUGUAAAACACCUUAUAGUACGAGAAGUAAUUUCAAGACUUCAACCUGGAUUUAUCAAGAAGUACAUCUAAUUGGUGUCAAACCUUGCAGUCUUUUAUGCAAUUAUCACUCAACAUUCCCUGCAGCUGGGGUACACCACAGGCACUCAAUGUACAACAAGAAGGGAAAAC
Non-coding RNA from Pelobates cultripes (western spadefoot toad), 275 nucleotides. Lineage: Eukaryota; Metazoa; Chordata; Amphibia; Anura; Pelobatidae. The record is from the annotation of a GenBank genome assembly.